RNAcentral lists this ribosomal RNA (492 nucleotides) under uncultured bacterium. Its description in RNAcentral is "bacterial SSU rRNA". It matches the Rfam family "Bacterial small subunit ribosomal RNA", at positions 31 to 496 of the family's 1533-position model. The record is from RNAcentral.
GAACGCUGGCGGCGUGGAUAAGACAUGCAAGUCGAACGAGAUCCUUAGCAAAGCUUGCUUUGCUAAGUCUAGUGGCGAACGGGUGAGUAACACGUGAGCAACCUGCCCAGAAGCAGGGGAUAAGCCACCGAAAGGUGGUCUAAUACCGUAUGUGAUACCAAGAGGCAUCUCUUGGCUAUUAAAGGGGGGGACCUUCGGGCCUCUCACUUCUGGAUGGGCUCGCGGCCUAUCAGCUUGUUGGUGAGGUAACGGCUCACCAAGGCAACGACGGGUAGCUGGUCUGAGAGGACGACCAGUCACACUGGAACUGAGACACGGUCCAGACACCUACGGGUGGCAGCAGUCGAGAAUCAUUCACAAUGGGCGAAAGCCUGAUGGUGCGACGCCGCGUGGAGGAUGACAGCCCUAGGGUUGUAAACUCCUGUCAUGAGAGAGUAAAGACUUAACGUUAAUACCGUUGGGUCCUGAUAGUAUCUCAAGAGGAAGGGACGG